RNAcentral lists this long non-coding RNA (964 nucleotides) under Olea europaea subsp. europaea. Lineage: Eukaryota; Viridiplantae; Streptophyta; Magnoliopsida; Lamiales; Oleaceae. The record is from RNAcentral.
AGAGAAAUUCUCAACCUUACGAGUUAUCUGACGCUUACUGGAAAAAGAUGCGAUCAUUCUUGGCUCUCUGGUUAUCAUUCUUCUAUAGAAAUCUACCUUAUUUCUAACAAAAGGAAUUUUGGCCAGUUAGUUUAUGAAGAGCGCACUAUUUUUGUCUUUAAGUUGCCAGAACUUGUUAUAACCAGUUAAUCACCACAGAAGUAUGAUUGGAUAAUUCAUUCUCGAGUUGGACUUCCUCUUACUAAUUGAAACUCCUCAUCGGGUGUCCUCUUGAUUAAACAGAAUAAAAAUGCCCUGCCUACCCGGUUAUCUUUUUGCUCACUGUACCUCUUAAAGGAGAUAUAAAUAUCCAGGUUCUAAUCAAUACCUCCUGCAGAAGUAAGUGAUUAUACACUGAAUCAAAUGAAGCAUAUGACUUAUACACUGAAUGAAGCAUAUUACUUAUACACUAAAUCAAAGACCUAAUAAUAAAUCAGCCCAUACUCCUCCAAAAAUCCAAAAUCAUGAAAAUCAGUUACGCAUAUACACACAAGUGACUAUAAAAGCAGCUCCAUAAGUCUAUUACCUAUCGAAGAGCCCCUAAUCAAACACAGCUCACAUCAUAGCAAAAGAUUGCAUGUAUCUUUUUCUUUACCAAUUUUCAAGCUUUUGGAUCUAAACAAAGAGAACCCACGUUUCUUAUAUCACAAAUAAAUAGAUGCCAACAUAUAAUGGAAGUCAGAUUAACGUAAGACAUCACUACAUGAAGAGAAUCAAUACCAACUUUUUUCUGUUGUUUGUAACGAAUGAAAAAUGGAGAAACAACUAAAAAAAAUUCAAUUUCCCAUUUUAUGCAUCUAACCGAAAAAGAAGAAAUAAAAAAAAAAAAAAAAAGAUUACAACGAGAAUAGGGAGAUUGCUUACUGACAGAGCCGGUCCUGUGAUUUAUGGGCCCUGAGGCGAAGCGUGUAAAGUAGGCCCCCCA